CGAUUUGCGUUGGCCUUGUAACGCGGGUGGAUGGGUUCUCCAGGUUGGUAUCCUGCGGUUGGCUUGCUGACCUCUCGGCCUCUUCGUCUCUCGGCCCCACUUUCGUUCCCUAAGAAGAGGUGAGACCGAACGGGCUCCCGGAGUGCACGGCCCCGGAAGGUCCGGCUUGAGGGUCCAGUCACCGGAAGUGCCGCCCCGGGCAGCGGAGUAAGGGAGCAGCGGUCCUCGCGGUUCUUGGCGAGGGAAGAAUUAAUUAUUGUGAGUAGUUCUGGAUUAGAGACCUUGUGGAUCCGAAAGAAUAAGUCUUUGGGUUCUUGUUAAGAAAGCCGUUUUUUUAAUUUUGAUUUUUCUCAAGACCAAAAAGUGAAUACUACCUGUCGUCUGUCUACAUUAUUG
This 396-nucleotide long non-coding RNA is filed under the name Rattus norvegicus (Norway rat). RNAcentral's name for it is "long non-coding RNA NONRATT012485". Lineage: Eukaryota; Metazoa; Chordata; Mammalia; Rodentia; Muridae. The record is from RNAcentral.